UACGUAUGGUGCAAGCGUUAUCCGGAUUUACUGGGUGUAAAGGGAGCGUAGACGGAGUGGCAAGUCUGAUGUGAAAACCCGGGGCUCAACCCCGGGACUGCAUUGGAAACUGUCAAUCUAGAGUACCGGAGAGGUAAGCGGAAUUCCUAGUGUAGCGGUGAAAUGCGUAGAUAUUAGAAGGAACACCAGUGGCGAAGGCGGCUUACUGGACGGUAACUGACGUUGAGGCUCGAAAGCGUGGGGAGCAAACAGG
RNAcentral lists this ribosomal RNA (253 nucleotides) under Mediterraneibacter faecis JCM 15917. Its description in RNAcentral is "[Ruminococcus] faecis JCM 15917 partial 16S ribosomal RNA". It matches the Rfam family "Bacterial small subunit ribosomal RNA", at positions 524 to 776 of the family's 1533-position model. The record is from RNAcentral. Lineage: Bacteria; Bacillati; Bacillota; Clostridia; Lachnospirales; Lachnospiraceae.